This 253-nucleotide ribosomal RNA is filed under the name uncultured bacterium. RNAcentral describes it as "partial 16S ribosomal RNA". It matches the Rfam family "Bacterial small subunit ribosomal RNA", at positions 524 to 776 of the family's 1533-position model. The record is from RNAcentral.
GACAGAGGGUGCAAACGUUGCUCGGAAUUACUGGGCGUAAAGCGCAUGUAGGCGGCUCUGUAAGUCGGAUGUGAAAGCCCUCGGCUUAACCGAGGAAGUGCAUUCGAUACUGCAGAACUAGAGUAUCGGAGAGGGUCGUGGAAUUCCUGGUGUAGAGGUGAAAUUCGUAGAUAUCAGGAGGAACACCGGCGGCGAAGGCGGCGACCUGGACGAAUACUGACGCUCAGAUGCGAAAGCGUGGGUAGCAAACAGG